RNAcentral lists this ribosomal RNA (412 nucleotides) under Lachnospiraceae bacterium oral taxon 096. RNAcentral's name for it is "bacterial SSU rRNA". It matches the Rfam family "Bacterial small subunit ribosomal RNA", at positions 28 to 416 of the family's 1533-position model. Lineage: Bacteria; Bacillati; Bacillota; Clostridia; Lachnospirales; Lachnospiraceae. The record is from RNAcentral.
GAUGAACGCUGGCGGCGUGCUUAACACAUGCAAGUCGAACGAAGCUGUUGUUUGGAAACCUUCGGGUGGAAGAAUAACAGACUGAGUGGCGGACGGGUGAGUAACGCGUGGGUAACCUACCUUGCACAGGGGGACAACAGUUGGAAACGACUGCUAAUACCGCAUAAGACCACAGUACCGCAUGGUACAGGGGUAAAAACUGAGGUGGUGUAAGAUGGACCCGCGUCUGAUUAGCUAGUUGGUGGGGUAAAGGCCUACCAAGGCGACGAUCAGUAGCCGACCUGAGAGGGUGAUCGGCCACAUUGGGACUGAGACACGGCCCAAACUCCUACGGGAGGCAGCAGUGGGGAAUAUUGGACAAUGGGGGGAAACCCCUGAUCCAGCGAACGCCCGCGUGAAGUGAAAGAAAGUA